UAAAUGUUGAUGAGUUUUGAAGGUAUUUGAACAUCAGUCCCAGGCUGCUUCCAGAGAAUUCCAUCUUCUUUACAAUCUCCAUCUCUUCACUAAUCCCUGAGAUCCAGUGCAGGUUCCUGAAGAAGACUGCUGCAGGAUGAUGCAGGGCUUCCAGCUUCAUGUCUCUGUGUACGCAUAAUAAAAUCCAGUCAUUAGUGUUAUGAGAUGUUCACUCCUGUACUCAGUUCUCUUUAACAUACAGCAGGGUUACUGGUGGUACUGGUUUGUGGAUUUGUGUACAGUCCCUGACAAAAGUCUUGUCACUUAUCUAUUUUGUAGAAACACCUGCUAUUAACCUGAUUUUUAAUUAAUUAACUGGUGUUAGAAAUAGCUCAUAUGAAAAGCUAAAACCUUCCCAAAUGAUGUUUACUGCACGGAAAUUAAUCAGUUUCACUGAAAAAAGAUUUAUCAUUUAAUCAAGACAGAAGUUUUGUCUAUACAGAAAUUGAACAAAUUUACUGCAAAUACAAAAAUAUGUCAGCAAAUGAAGUAGUGGUGCUGUGAGAUCCAAAUUUAAUAUCUUGUAUGACUUCCAUGAGCUUGAAGGAAGUCAUCAGGAAUAGCAAAGAAAGCAGUCCUGCAUGCCUCCCAGAGUUCAUCAAUAUACUUUGGUUUCAUCCUCCAUGCUUCCUCCUUCAUCCUACCCCACAUAUGCUCAAUGAUGUUCAUGUCUGGUGACUGGGCUGGCCAAUCCUGGAGCAUCUUGAUCUUCACCUUGAGGAACUUUGAUGUGGAGAUGGAAGUAUGCGAUGGAGCACCAUCCUGCUGCAGAAUUUGGCCUCUUUAUGGUUGGGAAUAUAAGAGGUAGAGAUUUCAUGGUAUUUUAGACUAUUGAUGUUGCGUUCCACCCUGCAGAUCUUUUGCACACCCCCCAUACUGGAUGUAACCCCACACCAUGAUUAUUCCGCCACCAAACUUCACUGUUUUCUGGGUGAAUCUCGGAUCUAUGCGGGCUCCAGUAGGUCUCCUGCAAUAUUUGCGGCGACUGUGGUGUAAUUCAACAGAAGAUUCAUCUGAAAAAUCCACCUUUUGCCACUUUUCCAGCGUCCAUCCUUUUAGCAGGCUUUAGCAGGUUUGUUUUGCACUGAAUUUCUUGUAAAUAAAUCUUGAUUAAAAAUAUAUUUCAGCAGCACUUCAGGUCAAUUUGUACAUUGAUCUGAAGUGCUUCUUGACUUGACUUGAAAAAACUCAACAUUUGAGCUCAUUAUAGAUCAACAUCAGCUUCUCCAUGCCAGAUCCUUUAACACUUGUCCAGUGUUCAGAAAUGUGUGUGCCACAACUGUUGGUUGAGGUUUUGAAGUUUACUAAGUUUAAGUGCUAAAAAUAUAACAGAUCAAUAUUUUUUUCUACUUUUUUCACUUAAAUCUGUUUUGCUUCACAUUUCACACAGUUUAUGUUAAAGGUCCAGUUCAGAAAAACUCUGAUCUUUCAAAAAUACUGUCUUUCACAUUAAGCCAUGUUCAGCGUUUUUCAUGUAAAGAGUUUUAGUAUGUCCUUCCAGUUCUUCCUGUGACAAACAUCUGCAAAUAACAGAAAUGUUACCACUUCCACCCUCUAAUAAAUACCUCUCCAUCUGUGUGUAGAUAUCAUGUUGAUAAAGACCACCAACAGAAGCACACAGGGGGUCAGUAGGAAGUUCCUCUCCAUCAGCUGCUUUUCAGUUUCCUUCCUGACGCUCCAAAUCUCAGGAAUCAUCUUGUAUACUGGAAUAUAUGCCAAGUGUGUGGCCUUUAGCCUGGAACAUUGUGUGUGUGUGUAAGGCAGUGGGAGUGGUCCUUCAGAGGUCUCAGGAACUUUCACUUUGAAAGCUGUUCUGUUCACACGGGGGUUUUUCCUAGUCUGCUUCAAGAUGAAAGUUUGUGUUUUCUUUUCGUUAUUCACUUUACUGUGUGUGGGAUUGUGUGGGUCGUCUACACACGCAGGAAAUUGUACUGCUCCUGUUCUGAGUGUGGCGUCUCUGGAGGUGGAAUACGGACAGCCAGCAAACGUCACCUGCUCCAUACAGAAGAAACCUGAUGCAGAAUACAUACUGGGCUGGGAGUCGAAAUCAGCACAGAAUAGUACAAACAAUGAGAUGAGUGUGACGUGGAAGGUGGAGGAACUGACAAACUGGGAGGAACCUGAAGGAAUUAGGUGUUUCUUUUUUCUGGGACAUCAUUGUGUGACUUUUUAAAUCUCACCAUUUACAAGAAACCAGACUCAGUUAACCUGAGAUCUUCAUCUGAAGUGUGUGUAGAAGGAAAACAGAUUGAGUUGAGUUGUGAGGUCGUAAACGUGGGUCCUGGACGUAUUCUCAGUGUACGCUGGAGCAGAGCAGAUCCCAAACAAAACACUUUCACAAUCUUCCAUGAAAGUACAGUCCCAGAUUUGGAAAAUGAGAAAAAGAAUGUGAGCAGAACAGUGAAUGUAACCAUCACACCCACACGUGAGGACGAUGGAGCUCAGUAUCAGUGUGAAGCUCUGCUGAAUCUCAACCAACCACUUGUGUUCAAAUCAGAGAAACCAAUCACCAUCUCUGUACACUACAAGAAGAAGAACUUCUACUGGCUCCUGUUUCUUCUAAUUGUGCCUAUAGUUCUGGGAAUCUGGGCCUUCAUCCAUUACAGACACCAACGCAUCGGCCAAUACAUCCUGAAGCACCUGGGAGUUAACCAUGCCAACCAGAACGCUGACAGAACUUAACUGUAGAUACUGCAUUCAUCAUGAAUUAAAGAAACGGCCUUAUCAGUUCAGAACUUGGAAAUUCUGAAGGAUCUCCUUAACCUCCUCAAGCCCAUGUUCAGCAUGAGAUCAUUACGACACAUCUGAGUGCAACACAGAGUAACUACAGCACUUCUUCCUAUAGAUCUAUUAGCAUACAGCACUGAUACCGCUGACUGUUAGGGGUGUAACGGUUCAUGUAUUCAUACCAAACCUUUACACUAAACUGACCAUACUGAAUUUCCGUCUCCACCUCGCACUCCCAGUUAAACUUACAAACAUACACAACACUGCCGGGGGUGUAAAUAAGAAACUGGAGUUAGCGCAGUGUCACGGUGGCUGCUCGCUCCAGACUGCGCUUCCAACCUUCACCAACGCUAGCGCUAUGGAGUCUUCAGCAUUUUAUAUCCAGUGUCAAGAGAAAAUCCUGAUAAUUCCACAUAUUUAAGGAGUGGACGAAUGAAGGAUGGAAGGAAUGAAGACUUUUAUCUGCUGAAAUAAAUAGAACAGUUCAGUAGAUCAUAUCAUUAGAAAAUUACAUAUUUACAUGUGAAAUACACACACACACACACACACACACACACACACACACACACA
Molecule: long non-coding RNA, 3336 nt
Organism: Silurus meridionalis
Lineage: Eukaryota; Metazoa; Chordata; Actinopteri; Siluriformes; Siluridae
Exons: 4
Source: RefSeq, a predicted model, not a curated record